RNAcentral lists this ribosomal RNA (29 nucleotides) under Trichoderma atroviride. RNAcentral describes it as "partial 18S ribosomal RNA". The record is from RNAcentral. Lineage: Eukaryota; Fungi; Ascomycota; Sordariomycetes; Hypocreales; Hypocreaceae.
CCGUAGUUGAACCUGCGGAGGGAUCAUUA